RNAcentral lists this ribosomal RNA (498 nucleotides) under uncultured bacterium. Its description in RNAcentral is "partial 16S ribosomal RNA". It matches the Rfam family "Bacterial small subunit ribosomal RNA", at positions 30 to 523 of the family's 1533-position model. The record is from RNAcentral.
AUUGAACGCUGGCGGCAUGCUUUACACAUGCAAGUCGAACGGUAACAGGCCGCAAGGUGCUGACGAGUGGCGAACGGGUGAGUAAUGCAUCGGAACGUGCCCAGUCGUGGGGGAUAACGCAGCGAAAGCUGCGCUAAUACCGCAUACGAUCUAUGGAUGAAAGCGGGGGACCGUAAGGCCUCGCGCGAUUGGAGCGGCCGAUGUCAGAUUAGGUAGUUGGUGGGGUAAAGGCUCACCAAGCCAACGAUCUGUAGCUGGUCUGAGAGGACGACCAGCCACACUGGGACUGAGACACGGCCCAGACUCCUACGGGAGGCAGCAGUGGGGAAUUUUGGACAAUGGGCGCAAGCCUGAUCCAGCAAUGCCGCGUGCAGGAAGAAGGCCUUCGGGUUGUAAACUGCUUUUGUACGGAACGAAACGGUCUUGGUUAAUACCUGGGGCUAAUGACGGUACCGUAAGAAUAAGCACCGGCUAACUACGUGCCAGCAGCCGCAGUAA